Molecule: ribosomal RNA, 510 nt
Filed under: uncultured bacterium
Lineage: Bacteria
Description: partial 16S ribosomal RNA
Rfam family: Bacterial small subunit ribosomal RNA
Source: RNAcentral
GACGAACGCUGGCGGCGUGCUUAACACAUGCAAGUCGAACGAAGAGCGACGGAAGCUUGCUUCUAUCAAUCUUAGUGGCGAACGGGUGAGUAACGCGUAAUCAACCUGCCCUUCAGAGGGGGACAACAGUUGGAAACGACUGCUAAUACCGCAUACGAUCUAACCUCGGCAUCGAGGAUAGAUGAAAGGUGGCCUCUACAUGUAAGCUAUCACUGAAGGAGGGGAUUGCGUCUGAUUAGCUAGUUGGAGGGGUAACGGCCCACCAAGGCGAUGAUCAGUAGCCGGUCUGAGAGGAUGAACGGCCACAUUGGGACUGAGACACGGCCCAGACUCCUACGGGAGGCAGCAGUGGGGAAUCUUCCGCAAUGGACGAAAGUCUGACGGAGCAACGCCGCGUGAGUGAUGACGGCCUUCGGGUUGUAAAGCUCUGUUAAUCGGGACGAAAGGCCUUCUUGCGAAUAGUGAGAAGGAUUGACGGUACCUGAAUAGAAAGCCACGGCUAACUACGUG